This is a long non-coding RNA of Quercus robur (English oak), 223 nucleotides long. RefSeq lists it as uncharacterized. Lineage: Eukaryota; Viridiplantae; Streptophyta; Magnoliopsida; Fagales; Fagaceae. The record is from RefSeq and is a predicted model, not a curated record. The transcript is spliced from 2 exons.
UUUCAAAGAAAACGGUAAAGUUGGAGAUGCAGAGAGGAUGUUUAUUCAGGCACGGUUCUUUGCACCAGAGAAAGCUAAGGCACUUGUAGAUCGUUACUCAAGACGGUAACUGCUGUUGUUACUGCCUGUUUUUGUGCAUGGUUCGUUUAUAACUUAGUCUUGAUGUAGUUCCAUUUUGACUAUUGGACUAUUUAUAUCGGUCUCCAAAAUUUUCAUAAGUUCA